This is an RNA transcript of Medicago truncatula (barrel medic), 2292 nucleotides long. RefSeq lists it as uncharacterized. Lineage: Eukaryota; Viridiplantae; Streptophyta; Magnoliopsida; Fabales; Fabaceae. The record is from RefSeq and is a predicted model, not a curated record. The transcript is spliced from 8 exons.
UCCCUACAAAAUUUCAAUUUGAAGAUGGCAACCUUUGUAAAUCAGAGGAUGAUGAAGACGACAGUGUUUCUGUUUAUUUCGAUGUCAUGAAUGAGGAACCCGAACUGAACAAGUGGAAGAUGAAGCUGGAGAAGAUAUUUGAUUAAUGUUAUAACUUUUGGGAAUCAAUCCUCUAUUUCUGAUAUAAUCUUCGUAUAAGACAUGUAUUCAUUCAAUGAAAGAUGCGCCCAGUCCUUGGAAUUCUGAUGAACUCCAGAGACCUUCAUACUACACUCGACAGUGCUAAGUGGCAGCUUUGGGACUAUUUUUGGUACUCCCAUUUUAAUCUCAUGUAGCUGAUUUCACAAAGCUAUGCUCCGAUGUUUUCCCUUUAAUUGAUGCGUGUGAUUCAGAAAAAUGGUGUCAAACAUGCUGAUUAUCAAUUUAACAAUGCAAUGAGUCUUUUUGCUAAGAUUAAAGAGCAACAACCGGAAUUCAAAAAUCCACGCUCACUUGGAGAGGCCAUUAUAAAAGUAUCCAUCCAUCAGAUAUGGUAGAGUCGUGCUCUGUUGCCGGUCUUGGAUUUGUGAAUAUUGUCUUAUCAAAUAAGUGGAUAGAAAAGGUGGUUCAAAAAAGGUUAACUUGCCUCCUUCUUAAUCUUAGUGUGGAAGAUAUCACCAAUCACACAUUUGAGAGUUCCUCGUUCAAGAAAUUGUGGCGCAAGAUUACGAAGAAAUUUUGAAUCUGUAGACUGCCUUGAGCCAAGCAACAUAUGAAAAGACCGUGCUUCCAUAACUAGGUGUGUUAGUUAUAUGAUUUUAGGAUUCAUUAUUCUGCAUUUAUUCAAUAACAGAUUUAACUUUGGGUACCACAAGUGUCACCCAUGCUGCCUUUCUAUCCUGUGCAUAAUGAAUAACAGUGUGCCGCGAAUUGAUUACAGUAUCUCUUCAUUAAACCGUGCUGGCUUUGUAUCAUGUGCACUCAUGGUAGCAAUUCAUACGUGGACACAAAUGUCGUCAUUUAUGGCGCUCAAGAUCUAGAGCCAAACAAACAAUAAACAGAAAAGUCAUUAUUAGUGACUUUACACUUCUCUGAACAUUCUCAUUGGCAGCUUAAGAUUAGAGACUAUUAUAUAAGACAAAGUAGCAACAAUUGAACCGCACAUCUCUCCUAUGUUUUAUCUAACUCAUUUGGAUGUAACAAAGUACAAUUUAUAUUAUCUCAGCAAAUACUUUCAUCUAAAAAAAAUCAUAAUGGACCCAAACAAGAAGCGUAGAGUUCAUGGACAAAACUUACCAUUGUCCUAUGUUACUAAUGGUAAUCAUACCUUUUCUACAUUUGGUGCUAUUACUAAUUCGAUUUUGUGUUUGAUUUGAGACAUACUAUGUUCAUAUCUCUUUACAGUUGCUUCAUCAUCCGACUUAUCACAAUUUACCAACAGAAAUGUGACAAGAAAGCUUACCCCUAUUUCACCUGGUAGAUAUGUUCUAAAGCGUCCUAGAAAUUUGCAUUGCGGUGACCUAAACAAAGCAACCGUAACCGGGUCAAAUGAGAAUCAAAGCUUUUAUCCAGAGUGCGGCGAGAAUGGUGAAGAUUGUGACGUUCCUGACAAUGAUUUGGGUUUUGUAGUCGCGAGGCAUCCUUGGCCUGGGAGCAUAACGAUGAAUCUGCAAGUUGCAACACAGAUUGUGACGAAUUUCUGUAUUGUAUUCUAAAAAUGUAUCUUUAAGCGGAAACGACGGUGUAGUUAGUAACGAAGGUACAUCUACAAAUUAUGGCAUAUCAGAUCAUCAAUCUUCUGGCACUGGCUCAUAGUCUCUUCCCACAACAUCAGUUACUAUAGACAGACAAACUUUAGAGCCAAGUAAGGUGAAAGGCAUCAAAGGGGAAAAAGAAACGAAAGGAAAGGAAAUUCUUCAGAAGGCGGGAUGCUUCUGGGUCAACAUCUGAUCUUUAUAACACUUACAAGGGACCUGAGGAAAAUAAAGAAGCUGUUGCAACUUCAGAGAGCACUGCAAAUGUUUCUAUUUCUGAAAAUUUGAAGCAGCUACUGAUGGUUGGUUGCUUCACACAUUCUCUCUCUCAAACUCAGUUUUUGUUAAUGGUGUUGAAAUUACAAAGUAUAUCGAGACAACAUCAUAGUCUUUUCUUUUUGUUCUUGCCAUGAAGCAUAAAGAAGUUCAGGUGACUCUUGCGAAAAUAUGUAGUGAAAAAGUAGAGAUGUAUGCAGUGUCUUUUGCAAAAUCUCUUUUGUAAAAAAGUUAAUAGAUCACUGCUCAAUCCAAUGAAGAGAAUUUUGAAUCAAUUAUGAAA